UACGUAGGGUGCUAGCGUUGUCCGGAUUUAUUGGGCGUAAAGAGCUCGUAGGCGGUGUGUCGCGUCGGCCGUGAAAACCCGCAGCUCAACUGCGGGCUUGCGGACGAUACGGGCAGGCUGGAGUUCGGUAGGGGAGACUGGAAUUCCUGGUGUAGCGGUGAAAUGCGCAGAUAUCAGGAGGAACACCGGUGGCGAAGGCGGGUCUCUGGGCCGAUACUGACGCUGAGGAGCGAAAGCGUGGGGAGCGAACAGG
Molecule: ribosomal RNA, 253 nt
Filed under: uncultured bacterium
Lineage: Bacteria
Description: partial 16S ribosomal RNA
Rfam family: Bacterial small subunit ribosomal RNA
Source: RNAcentral